Molecule: long non-coding RNA, 447 nt
Organism: Gorilla gorilla gorilla (western lowland gorilla)
Lineage: Eukaryota; Metazoa; Chordata; Mammalia; Primates; Hominidae
Exons: 3
Source: RefSeq, a predicted model, not a curated record
UUACCUCGGCCUAUGCCUGCUGCCCUGUGCCUGCUUGGCUGCAGCACAGCCAUGUUCUUUACGAUCAUUUUGUUUAGGGAACUGCUCCUUGAGUUGGCUAUCCUGUGUGAAUGGAAUGUAUGACAGCCUGAAAAGUAUAUCUUGGUAGAGUUUAGGGUUCAAUUACUUUAUGGGUACUAUCGGGAAGCAGUAAAUACAUCAAUGUAACUUUCAAAAUUAUAUGGGUUAUUUCCCUCUAGAUCCUAGCAAGAACGCUACAAUUCAGGAAAUCUAUAUUCCCAUUGUACAGAUUCAGAACUUGAGGCUUAGAGAGAUAUAGUAACUUGGUUCAUGUCACAAGGUACAACGUAUUUCAGGCAGUAAGAAGGAAGGAAAAAGAAGACAUGACACUCAUGUACAUCUACUUAUGGCUUACUGGAAAAUGCUGUCACACUGCCCCACCUAGCA